RNAcentral lists this transfer RNA (64 nucleotides) under Thalassiosira minuscula. The record is from RNAcentral. Lineage: Eukaryota; Bacillariophyta; Thalassiosirophyceae; Thalassiosirales; Thalassiosiraceae.
AGAACUUUCUCAAAUUACUAGAGCACUUAAAAAUCUUGCUAAAGAAUUCCAAAUACCAAUUAUU